CACGCAGCUGAGCUGCUCGCUGUUCGCUUGUUUAUUCAAAGUUAAUUAAACGUGUGGCGUGAACGAACACCUUCACUCUGGACAUUUGUCUGUUAAACAGCUACAGCCAGCAGCUGGUUUGCUUAGCUUAGCACAGCACAAAAACUGGAAACUUGUCUAUAGCGUGGUUCUGUCCAAAGAUGUCUGAUGGGAAAGAAGACUACUCCUGUGUAGCUGUAUGUCACGUCAUGUCAUAUUAUGGUAUGGUAUACCAGAUUCCAAAAAGACAGUUACAGCUGAAUGAUACAGUAUGACAUAUGGAUGGGAAUAUGGAUGUGGAUCUGAAUGUAAAUGUGUUCUGCGUAUACAGUGUAUGUAUAUAUGGGAGAAGGAAAUGCAGAGCUGCUGUCUCUGGUUUGUGUCACUCACACUAAACUAAUAAAACUCAGCUGUUGGUCAGUUAGGGAGGCUGAUGGUCAUGUGACUUGGGUAAUUUAAUGAUGAUGUAUUCCCAGUUACAUUGUGGUCUAAUUUUAUAAGACUUAUGAUGUGUUGAAAGAAAGGUAAAAUACAAUGCAAAUGAUUACUGCUAAAAUGACAAGCAUUAAGUAGAAGUGUGUUGAAUUAUCAUUAUAUUGAAUGUAUACCUCACAGAAACUUGUGAUUGAUAUAUGGGCACAAAGUAUGUUAAAAAUAAUCUCACUCAGUGCACUGGAUAAAAGAAUAAGUGUGUUUAUAUUAAACUUCACCUUUUUA
This is a long non-coding RNA of Thunnus maccoyii (southern bluefin tuna), 735 nucleotides long. RefSeq lists it as uncharacterized. The record is from RefSeq and is a predicted model, not a curated record. Lineage: Eukaryota; Metazoa; Chordata; Actinopteri; Scombriformes; Scombridae. The transcript has 2 exons.